UACGUAGGUGGCAAGCGUUGUCCGGAUUUACUGGGCGUAAAGAGCGCGCAGGCGGUCGUUCAAGUCGCGUGUGAAAGCCCCCGGCUCAACUGGGGAGGGUCACGCGAUACUGAUCGACUCGAAGGCAGGAGAGGGAAGUGGAAUUCCCGGUGUAGUGGUGAAAUGCGUAGAUAUCAGGAGGAACACCGGUGGCGAAGGCGGUUCUCUGGGCCUUACCUGACGCUGAGGAGCGAAAGCGUGGGGAGCGAACAGG
This 253-nucleotide ribosomal RNA is filed under the name uncultured bacterium. RNAcentral describes it as "partial 16S ribosomal RNA". It matches the Rfam family "Bacterial small subunit ribosomal RNA", at positions 524 to 776 of the family's 1533-position model. The record is from RNAcentral.